Molecule: transfer RNA, 69 nt
Filed under: Sphaerodactylus townsendi
Lineage: Eukaryota; Metazoa; Chordata; Lepidosauria; Squamata; Sphaerodactylidae
Description: tRNA-Ala
Source: RNAcentral
GGGAAUAUGGUUCAGUGGCAAAACAUCUGCUUCGCAUGCAGGUCUCAUGUUUAAUUCCUGGCAUCUCCA